This 260-nucleotide ribosomal RNA is filed under the name uncultured soil bacterium. RNAcentral's name for it is "partial 16S ribosomal RNA". It matches the Rfam family "Bacterial small subunit ribosomal RNA", at positions 26 to 283 of the family's 1533-position model. The record is from RNAcentral.
AGGACGAACGCUGGCGGCGUGCUUAACACAUGCAAGUCGAGCGGAAAGGCCUUUCGGGGUACUCGAGCGGCGAACGGGUGAGUAACACGUGAGUAAUCUGCCCAUCGCUUCAGGAUAGCCAUCGGAAACGGUGAUUAAUACUGGAUAUGACAUUCCUUCGCAUGUUGGGGUGUGGUAAAGUUUUUUCGGCGGUUGGAUGUGCGUCGCGGCCUAUCAGCUUGUUGGUGGGGUAAUCGGCCUACCGAAGGUCUUUGGACGGG